AGCGAACGCUGGCGGCAGGCUUAACACAUGCAAGUCGAGCGGGCAUCCUUGUGGUGUCAGCGGCAGACGGGUGAGUAACGCGUGGGAACGUGCCCUUCGGUUCGGAAUAACUCAGGGAAACUUGAGCUAAUACCGGAUACGUGCGAGAGCAGAAAGGUUUAUCUGCCGAAGGAUCGGCCCGCGUCUGAUUAGCUAGUUGGUGAGGUUAUGGCUCACCAAGGCGACGAUCAGUAGCUGGUCUGAGAGGAUGAUCAGCCACACUGGGACUGAGACACGGCCCAGACUCCACGGGAGGCAGCAGUGGGGAAUAUUGGACAAUGGGGGCAACCCUGAUCCAGCCAUGCCGCGUGAGUGAUGACGGCCUUAGGGUUGUAAAGCUCUUUUCUUCGGGACGAUAAUGACGGUACCGGAGGAAUAAGCCCCGGCUAACUUCGUG
This 436-nucleotide ribosomal RNA is filed under the name uncultured bacterium. RNAcentral describes it as "partial 16S ribosomal RNA". It matches the Rfam family "Bacterial small subunit ribosomal RNA", at positions 29 to 507 of the family's 1533-position model. The record is from RNAcentral.